This is a long non-coding RNA of Hemicordylus capensis (graceful crag lizard), 800 nucleotides long. RefSeq lists it as uncharacterized. The record is from RefSeq and is a predicted model, not a curated record. The transcript is spliced from 4 exons. NCBI's taxonomy places the organism in Eukaryota, Metazoa, Chordata, Lepidosauria, Squamata, Cordylidae.
GAGCGGAGUAGCUUGGUUUAGUUGAGAGAGCAGCUGCUGCUGGGGAUGUUCUCUGACUCUGCCUGCCUGCCGUUUGCCCACCACACUGCCCUCUGGCUGCAUUUUAUUCUUCUGUUCUGCUUCUGCAUUAACAAAAUGUGCCAAAGAGCGUGGAGGUAAGAGGCAGGCACCUCUUUCCUGCCAGAUGUAAUCCUCUGGCAGAAGCAUCACCUAGAAGAAAGGCAACCAUCACAAGACAUCAGGAGACCUGCCCUCCUGGAGCUCAGAUCGACCCUGAUCCAAGGCAGCCACCUAAGCUGGCCUCCUGCUGCUUCAGAUAAGCCUGUUGGUGUUGGGAAUUCUCUCUGACUUCAGAAUUUGUCCUUCUGCCUGUAGUUGGCUCUGGAGAUCAAGAGCACAGCUCCAGAGUCAGAAGUGUCUUUGUAAGAAAGAAAGAGAAAGCAAGCAAGCUGCUAUGUCUCCUGCUUUGAUCCUGAAAACUGAACAUAUUGUCUGAGAAUCAUUCUCAGCAUCUUCUGACCUAUGGGCAAGAGAUCAGGAAAUGCAGCUGUGCAGGGAUUAGGCUGAGAUUUCACUUCACCUUAAAAAAAGAAGAAAGGAAAUAUUAAGGAUGACGUAAAGCUGUAAGAAGAGCUUCAGCUAUGCAAUAGUACCAGGUUUUAAAGAACGGGCCACAAGAUUGCAUGAUGCAUUGUUCUCUCUGGUGUGUAGAUUUUGCCUGCACCUUUGUACAGGCUUUGCUAUUAUGUAUAACCGCUGGUGCCUGAGUUAAAAUAAAACCAGAUACAUUCUCAAACUCA